Molecule: RNA transcript, 1922 nt
Organism: Rhodamnia argentea
Lineage: Eukaryota; Viridiplantae; Streptophyta; Magnoliopsida; Myrtales; Myrtaceae
Gene name: inner centromere protein
Exons: 7
Source: RefSeq, a predicted model, not a curated record
UCCCGCUAUGCUCUUAUCUGGGACAUCAUUCUGCGUGACGGAGGAAGCCAUUCUCAUUUCUCAGCGCUUUGUCUCCGAACUCGCAUCAUAUCAACCUCGCCUGAACUCUCUACUCUGCACAAUGCCGCUUCUCCACUCAAAAUUGGCAGUUCCAUGCCCAGCCCUCAUCUGUGAUCCGAACAAACUUCUGUGCCCACUUUUUGGGCAUGUUGCGGACGUCAAAUUCGUGCAAUUCAUUUGUCCAAAGCGGAGCAAUUCACCUCCCUUUGCGAUGAUCUCUUCCACCACCAUGCUUGACCCCCUCAGAUCAUCAAAGAAGAGGGUUGAUCCGGUAGAGACAUCUGGAUCGCGGGAAUGUGGCUGGUCAGAAGUCACGGCAGGUGCUCCUGAUAAUAACUGCGAGGAAGGAAAACUAAAUAGCGAGAUCGUCUCCUCAGGAUGUUUUAAUGACAAGAGCUAUAAGGAAAGUGAGAGAAGGAGAAAAAUUGGAGAAGCCAACAAAGGGAAAGUGCCAUGGAAUGUUGGGAUAAGACAUAGUGAAGAGACUCGAAUGCGAAUCAAGCAGAGAACAAUUGAAGCAUUGAGAGAUCCCAAGAUCAGGCAGAAGAUGUCUGAACAUCCCCGUACUCACAGUGAUUUGAUCAAAGCAAAGAUUGGCUCUUCACUUCGGUACAUUUGGAAAGAGCGUUUGAAGCGUAGAAGAUUGAAAGAGAAAUUCUUCUCAUCAUGGGCAGAUAACAUAGCAGAGGCAGCUAAGACAGGAUGGAGUGAUCAGAGAGAACUGGACUGGGAUAGCUAUGACAAAUUAAAGCAUGAAAUCGAUUUCCAACAUCUUCAUCGGCUUGCUGAAAAGGAAAGAGCUAAAAGUAUGGCAAAGAUGAGGGCUCAUAAAGAAGCAGCAGAGGCAAAAGCAGAAAAGAUGGCUAGGCUUGCUCAGAAGAGAAAAGAAAGGGAGGAAAAAGCAAAAGAACGAGGAAAGACGAAAAGAGUAUCAUGCAGUAGAGCAAAGAAGAAGAAAAAUGACUUAGCAGUCGAUCAGGGGAUGAAGCUUAAGAAGAGUUUGCUGAAGAUUAACCGAAAGAGAUCCUUAAAAGUUGUCCAAGUCACUGGUCAAGUGGAUGCAGUUCUUUCUCAUAUUCCAGCUUGGGAGAAACUGGAUUUAGAUCAUAUCAUGAGAGAAAAGGCACAAAGGAAACCUUCACUGGCUGAUCAGAUACAAGCGGCCAAAAAUCAAAGCAAAGUUCACAACUUAGAGGCUCUUCUCAUGCCAUCUUCUGUUCAUUCAUCCAGUGAGAAAUGAAGUCUCUGAGCUAUGCAUGCAAAGUUGCUGUGUCUUGUCUUACUGAAACAUGUUAUUGUGAAAGCAAAGGUGAUCAUUUUCUUAAUGAUGAAGAAUCUGCCCAUUCCAGCUAUAUAUUAUGCUGCAUAAUGCAAUCCCUUUGUGCCAAGUGUCAUUAAUUGUUGUUGCUGAUUUUACCAGCUGACACUUGAGCUGGAAACUUGAUUGGUUGACCUGAGAAUCAAGAUGUGACACAGAGAUGUUGGAUAUGUUCGACAUCAUUGCUAUUUGGAGGUCACCUCAGUAAACAAAAGGCGACCUUCUUUAAUUACCCUGACACAUAUGGUUGCUUGGCUCCGUUCCUGGUGUUUGUCAUAUAUUAUGCGCGCUAGGGAAUUGUCUCGCAUCUCUCUCUCCCCCCAUGCAUCCGUGUGUCCUCUCCACUGUGCUUGCAGUGAGUUGCAGGACCCUUGGCUGCGGAGCUGGAAGAAGAACCGGCUAGUGAAGCCGAAUGUCCUUCAGAAUUCAUUCAAAACUUGUUUGUGCUUAUGGCACUUAUAAAUUAGAUGUCAGAAAGCGCAAGCAAUUCAGGACAAAGAAACUUGUCGAUGCGAGUCUCUAUAAUCCACAUUAAUUUUUUCAA